UUCCCAAUCUAUACGCCUUUUAUUUCCUUUUCUUAUCUUAGCUAGGACUUGCAUUAUCUAGGACAUCCAGUGCAAUGUUGAAAAGCAAUGGGGAGAAGGAACAUCUUUUUCUUGUGAAUGAGUGUUGAAUUUUGUCAAGUGCUUUUUCUGCAGCUAUUGAUAUAAUCCUGUGAUUUUUCUUCUUUAGCCUGUUGAUGUGAUGGAUUACAUUAAUUGAUUU
RNAcentral lists this long non-coding RNA (220 nucleotides) under Pan troglodytes (chimpanzee). RNAcentral's name for it is "long non-coding RNA NONPTRT008971". The record is from RNAcentral. Lineage: Eukaryota; Metazoa; Chordata; Mammalia; Primates; Hominidae.